This is a long non-coding RNA of Thalassophryne amazonica, 83 nucleotides long. RefSeq lists it as uncharacterized. The record is from RefSeq and is a predicted model, not a curated record. Lineage: Eukaryota; Metazoa; Chordata; Actinopteri; Batrachoidiformes; Batrachoididae. The transcript is spliced from 3 exons.
CCAACUCUUGUUGCAUCAGGUACUUCCCGAGGUCAGCUGUAGCUGUUUCACUGGAUGGGCUGAUGUUGUACAUAGGAAAUGAA